GGGAAAAAAAAAGAAAAAAACACAACAAGAUUAUUUACGUUUCUUUGUAACCACACGCAGUUUACCACAUUUCCCUGAAUCUGUAUCAAACUUGCUGAAUCCUCGUCGCAGUCCGGACGCAGUACUGCUGGUACAAUAUGUUGAUGACAUUUUGCUUGCUGCUCCUUCUAAAAUAACAGGCAUUGACGCCACCCCCUCAGUUUUGGCUCAUUUGGCAAUCGUUUGCUUGAAGUGUUCAAAAAGCAAGCUUGCCCGCCCUCAAGUUUCAUUCUUGGGCCGCCUUAUUUCACGACAAGAGUUAACGGACUCAAUGCGGGCACUUGUCAAUGAAUGGGAUGAGAAACUUGACCAACCCUCUCCAUUGGACACCGGUAGCAGAAGACUCAUUUAUUGCUUUAAAACUGCAACUGUCCUCUGCAGCUGCGCUAGCUAUCCCUAACUAUUCCAAACUGUUUUACCUGGAUGCGUCCGAAAAAGCCAGCAGCGUUACUGCUGUUCUUUUCCAGAAAGGGGGAGGAGGUGAAUGAAAUGUUUGCUAAUAAGCCUCCACCCCACUUUAAAGCAAAGACAUCCAGUACGCGCAGCAUUCGCAUCCGCCCUGGUCCGACUGGUACAAAAAAAACAUCACAUAGUUUUGCAUCACCCAUUGACCAUCCGAACGUCACACAGCACAGUUCAAUAUUUUACGAGCCAAGCAUUUCCAAUGACAGGAGGAGGACAAAGACAUAUUGAGGCGGCAUUGACACAACCAAACAUUUUUUCCACACAUGAGAAGGUAUCAAUAUGGCUGACGGUUUGAUAGAAGGAGAACCACACUGUUGCACACAACGGGUUGUGGAAGAAAAUACACUCAGAAGUGAUUUGUAUGACACAGCAGUAAGCGACCCAGAAAUGUCUUUGUUCACAGAUGGGUGUUGCUUCAAACGCCCAGAAAACCUCACUCAGGAUUCGCAGUAAAUCAGUGGACGGGAGACACAUUCGCAACGCUUGUGGCCAAAAAAUUAACCAGCAUCGAAUCAGCACAAAGAGCCGAAAUAGUAGCUGUCAAAACUGGAUUAGCCAUAGCCCAAGGAGUUACAGCAAACAUUUACACUGACUCCGCCUAUGUCCAUGUGGUAAUCCACACUGCGCUUGCAGAAUGGCAAAAGAACGAUUUUCUCACUGAAAUGGGGGUUCCAACAAAACAUCAACAAGACAUUUUGGCACUCAGGGACGCACUCAUGUUACUUAAGGCUGUAGCUGUUAUUAAAUGCCAAGGGCAUUCCAAAGGCACCGAUAUCAUCACACAGGGAAAUGCAGCCGCAAACAAAGCUGCAAAAGAUCUCCCAACCUUACAAAUGACAAUCAGUAAAGAGGAACUGAAAGCCAGAGAGGAGGUGAGCAUGGCCACAGUUAGGGAGUGGCAGCAGCAGGCCAGCCCAGAGGAAAAGAGUGCAUGGAAGUCGAAGGGGGGAACGAAGAAUGAAGACGGUGUGUGGACGAAAGAUGAAUGUGGGAGGAAACAGGAGUUCCAGGAGAAAACCCACGCAGCCACGGGAGAACAUGCACAUUCUACACAGGUGUUGCCAGGAUUGAACCCGGGUCCUCAGAACUUCUUGAUCAGCGUGUGAAAAAGUGUGCAAGAUGUACAGCAGAGUAUGAGGAGGAACUUUGUGGACUUAAAGAGGAGAAGGAGCCACAACUACUCUGCUUCCUCAAAUUUUGCAAUGCAAAGCAGCAUUCCCACCUUCACCAUCAGCCUCGUGUUCUGGCCAUGACAGAACGAUCUGGCCACGACACGGACCCAGCAGACUCAGGCCCGGUGUGCCACACUGUCCAGGAUCAAGGAUAGCAUCUCGCCGAACAUGAAGAACAUUUCCAGACGUUUGCUUGCCAGUUGGAGCACCAGGGCAACAUGUUGCGGCAAGUAAUUACCUGGCUUAGUUCCCUGCCUGAAUACUUCCCAGCAGGGAUGACGCCAGCCCGGCGCCGGUAGCUGCCACGGAAUCCUUCCGUCUCCAUGAGUCAGUCCCCUUGGUGGUCCCUGGCACACAUACGGGUGUCUGCUCACCGCUCUCCCAUCUGGAGUGGUUCUCAGGAGACUCUGGUAAUAUCAAGCCAUUCAUCAGCAGUGCGAGCUCCAUUUUGAGCUACAGGCAACCGCUUUUCACUCUGACAGCUUUCGUCUUUUCCCACCUGACGGGACGCGCGGAAACGUGGGCGACACUCAAGUGGAGCUGGACAUGUCGGAUGUGGCCAUCCUUCGUGAAUUCCAUGGCAAAAGUGUUCCAGUCUGCAUCCCCUGAACGCAAAGUGGCGAACUCUUUGAUCACCCUGUGGCAAGGCAAGCACAGGGUUUCCGACUACGCCAUUGACUUCCGCAUUCUUGCAGCUGAAACCAGUGGAACAACAGGGCGCUCCUACUGUAUAUGCAUUCUUUCAAGGGCUGUCCUCCAAGAUAAAGCACCAGAUUAUCCCACUGGACUUGCCAACAGACCUGGACGCACACAUUGUUUUAAUUUUAAAAAUUGACAAGAGACUCAUGAAUUCGGAGCCGGACAGCGCCUAGCGGAGGAAUAUGGUUUAUCGUGCCAGGGACAUCAAUGCUCCUCAAGGUGUGUCUGCUGAGCCGGAGAACUGCAGGCAGCUGGGCCGCCUCUGUCUGUCACCUGAGGAACGUAAGUCUACAUCGACUGAAGGAGGGACUCUGCUUCUACUGCGGGCAGUCUACGCCCCCGGUCAAACCAGCUGGUACCUCACCCUGAACCCUGACUACUGUGAAUCUCAACUUCAUCCAGGACAGUCCAGACCAAGCAAUUCCUCUUGUCACCCUGUAUUCAGGAGGACAGCCACUCAGGGUGACUGCGUUCAUAGACUUGGGUUCGGACGUCAAUCUUUUAAAGUCACAGCUGGUCAAAAGCAUGGAUCUCAGGACUUGUGAGGACUCACAUGAUGACCCAGACUUGUCUUCAGUGCCCUCUUGUUACCAUGACCUGAAGGAAGUAUUUCCCAAGUGCAAGGCCAAUUUCCUUUCUCCUCACAGACCAUACAACUGUGCCAUUGACUUGCUGCCCGGCUCCUCUCCCCCUCGCAGGUUACUACUGUAGUUUCCGGCGUACAAGCCACUAUUUUUUCACACCCGUUCAACCGAGCGGCUUAUGCAAUGAUGUGGCCAUUUUUGGGAUUUUUCUUGGCCACAAGGGGUGCUCGAGCAGAAAAGAUAAGUGAGAUGGAGGAGUAUAUGUGUUGAGGAAGACACAAGUUUAAGAUAACUUCGCCCAUUGCGGAUAUUUUAAACAGACCAUUAUCAUGGAGAGUACAAGAAGAAAUUCCUACAACACAGCUGCUCGUGAACUAGGAAUAAAUGGUGAGAGGUUGGAAACAGCAAAGUGAAGAAUUGCAGGAAUGCAAAAAGACAAAAUAGCCCUUAGAGGUUGUAAACCCAGGUGGCCCAAACUGGAGAAUAUUGUCGAAGACUGGGUGAACAAAUGGAGAGCAGACGCCCGAGGUGUUUCCGCUGUGCAGAUAAAAAUGAAAAUGAAAACAAUCGCCACGGAAAACAAAAUUAAUGAUUUCAAAAGAGGUCUGUCGUGGUAUCUUUGAUUUAUGAAGCAAAACGCUCUGUCCAGCUACGAGGAACAAGUCGCAAAUUUUCAACAAUUCAUUCGAACAAAGAUAACAGAGAAUUCUAUCGGACCCGACGACAUUAUAAAUAUGGAUGAGAUACCGCUGACGUUUGACCUGCCCCUCCCCAGGACCGUCAACAAGAAAGGUGAAGCAUCUGUCACACUGAAAACAACCGGCCAUGAAAAGACGCAUUUCACCUGUGUUUUGGGCUGCACUGCAUCCGGACUGAAGCUUCCACCAAUGGUAAUUUUUAAGAUGAUGACUAUGCCAAAAGAAAACUUCCCAAAAGACAUCGACACAAAAGGGUGGAUGGUAGAGAGCCUAAUGAUAGAAUGGUUGACCAAGUGUUAACGUGUACCUGUAGAGCUCCUUUUCUCCUUCUUUCGUAUCCAACCUGAAGUACAUGUCGUCAUAUGCCUCUUGUUUAGCCUUCGCUACCUCUACCUUUGCCCUACGGCACACCUCACUGUAUUCUUUAUGCCUCUCCUCAGUCUUUUCCAUGUCCCACUUCUUCUUCGCUAAUCUCUGUCCUUGGGUGACUUCUUGUAUUUUUGGGUUCCACCACCAAGUCUCCUUCUCCCCUUUCCUACCAGAAGACACCCCAAGUACUCUCUUGCCUGCCUCUCUGAAUACCUUAGCAGUAGUAUUCCAGUCUUCUGGGAGCUCUUCCUGUCCAUAUAGAGCCCAUGUCACCUCUUUCCUGAAGGCCACACAACAUUUUUACUUUCUCAACUUCCACCACCUGUUUCUCUGCUCUACCUUUGCCUUCUUAGUUUUCCUGCCCACUACCAGAGUCAUCCUACACACCAACAUCCUAUGCUGUUGGGCUACACUCUCCCCCACCACAACCUCACAGUCGGUAACCUCCUUCAGAUGACACCGUCUGCACAAAAUAUAAUCCACCUACGUGCUUCUACCUCAGCUCUUGUAGGUCAAUCUAUGUUCCACUCUCUUCUGGAAAUAAGAGUUCACCACUGCCAAUUCCAUCCUUUUUGUGAAGUCCACCACCAUCUGCCCCUCAAACUUCCUUUGCUGAAUGCCGUACUUACCCACAACUUCUUCAUCGCCCCUGUUUCCUUCGCCCACAUGUCCACUGAAAUCUGCACCAAUCACAACUCUCUUUCUGGGAUGCUCAGGACUACUUCGUCUAGUUCCUUCCAGAAUUUGUCUUUCAACUUGAGGUCACAUCCUACCUGUGGGGCAUAACCACUAAUCACAUUAUACACAAUACUGUCAAUUUCAAAUUUCAGCCUCAUCACUUGAACAUCCGUGAAUGUGAAUCCUUUAUAAUACAGAGAAAGGAUUAAACCAGGUUGAGACCAGCCAACGUGUGUCUUCUCAUUCAUCGUCCAAAAAAAUAAACAACGCAUUUAGACCCACUAAACAGGCAUGGGGAGAACAUGCAAACUCCACACCCAUAAUAUGCAGUAAAUCAGAAAGAUAUAGAUACAAAUAUUGUAUACAGACCAUCAAUAGAUUUUAUGAGUCUCUCCCGAGCGCCGGUCAUCAGAACUGUGAGGCAUACACUAGUCUAAGCAUGCAGUUGCCCAGCGUGCCGCCACAUACACACCCUGUCACGAGCAGGGCAAUGGGGGUAGAACCCAAAUGAAAGACUCCAAACCUUUAAACCAGGCAGAGGUUGAUACACAUAUAGGCAGUCCAAAAACACAACAGAACAAUAAUGCGAGGCAGCAGACAACCCCCUACCCCCCAAAAAAAGAAAUAAAGUCAGAUACUUAAAAAAAAAAAAAAAUCAUGGAAUACAAGACGUGACUCUUGGGCAGGCGGCACGGUGGUGGAGCUGUAGCGUGUUUUCCUUCACAGUUCUGAGGAUUGGGGUUCAAAUCCCAUCCCUGCCUGUGUGGAGUUUGCAUGUUCUCCCCGUCCCUGCGUGGGUUUUCUCCCGGCAGGCUGGUUUCCUCCUACAUCCCAAAAUAUGCAUUAAUUGGGGACUGUAAAUUGGCCCUUGGUGUGAUUGUGUGUCUACUGUCUGUCUCUGUGAGCGCUGCGAUUGGCUGAUAGAUGAUGGUUUCAGUUUUCAUAAGUCCAUGAUUUAUUUAUUUAUUUGGACAGAAUUGGGGCUUCCUACUCCCCACAAAAAUUAAUUCCAAAAAUUAGAACACUCCCCAGUCCAAAUUUUACAGGGUAUAAAUGUUUGAAAGUGUCACACGCUACAAACUCAAACCACCUGCACAUGUUU
This is a long non-coding RNA of Syngnathoides biaculeatus (alligator pipefish), 5806 nucleotides long. RefSeq lists it as uncharacterized. The transcript has 6 exons. The record is from RefSeq and is a predicted model, not a curated record. NCBI's taxonomy places the organism in Eukaryota, Metazoa, Chordata, Actinopteri, Syngnathiformes, Syngnathidae.